CAUAGAUUCGAGAUGCAAUCACUAGGAAAUCUCACUUUAAUAACACUUGGCCAAGAGUUUCUCUGGCAUGAGCACAUGUUGUUCACACAGUGCACUGGGGAGUCUGACGACUUGGGUGAAGGUUGAUCUGGAAUCUCUUGAUUUGGCCCAGAAUAAGCAUAAAUAUGUUGGCAGUGAUGUUGUUACUUAUACUUUGUGUUCUACUAAUUAAUAAAUGGAGCCUGACUCCAUUGAAAUAAACUGCAGUGAUUUCAUGAAGUCAAAUCAUUUCAGAGACUUUCAAUGCUGUGAACACAACGUGC
Pelobates cultripes (western spadefoot toad) is the source of this 302-nucleotide non-coding RNA. The record is from the annotation of a GenBank genome assembly. Lineage: Eukaryota; Metazoa; Chordata; Amphibia; Anura; Pelobatidae.